AGCGAACGCUGGCGGCAGGCCUAACACAUGCAAGUCGAGCGCCGUAGCAAUACGGAGCGGCAGACGGGAGAGUAACACGUGGGAACGUACCCUUUGGUUCGGAACAACCCAGGGAAACUUGGGCUAAUACCGGAUAAGCCCUCACGGGGAAAGAUUCAUCGCCGAAGGAUCGGCCCGCGUCUGAUUAGCUAGUUGGUGGGGUAAUGGACCACCAAGGCGACGAUCAGUAGCUGGUCUGAGAGGAUGAUCAGCCUCACUGGGACUGAGACACGGCCCAGCCUCCUGCGGGAGGCAGCAGUGGGGAAUAUUGGACAAUGGGCGCAAGCCUGAUCCAGCCAUGCCGCGUGGGUGAUGAAGGCCCUAGGGUUGUAAAGCCCUUUCGGCGGGGAAGAUAAUGACGGUACCCGCAGAAGAAGCCCCGGCUAACUUCGUGCCAGCCGCCGCAGUAA
RNAcentral lists this ribosomal RNA (449 nucleotides) under uncultured bacterium. RNAcentral's name for it is "partial 16S ribosomal RNA". It matches the Rfam family "Bacterial small subunit ribosomal RNA", at positions 29 to 523 of the family's 1533-position model. The record is from RNAcentral.